GAGAGAAACAUCAAUGUGUGGUUGCCUCUCACACAGCUUCCCCACUGGGGACCUGGCCCACAAUCCAGGUUUAAUUGAUGUACCAACAUGGCAGUAGAUGACAGUCUUCUGAAAAGAAUCCGUGUGUAAGCUCAUAUCAGACUUUCUUCAUGAAGACCCAAUCCCUCCCUCAAGGAGCUUACCAGCUUAUGGAGAAUAAACAGGAGCUUGUGGCCUUCCACUUGCUGUCCACACCUGGUAACACAUUGAAGGACCGUCCCCUCAGCCGCACUGUCGGGAGACAGCACCUUAUUUGGUGCUGACUCAGUGGGAGCCAAGUUUCCAGCAGGCUACCAACUCACACCUGCAGAAUUUGCAGGCACAUCCGUUUUGCAAACACUCAAAAUGGGUAAUUGGGCACACAAAUGCCUAUUUGCAUUGCAAUUUGGCA
Long non-coding RNA from Artibeus jamaicensis (Jamaican fruit-eating bat), 430 nucleotides. RefSeq lists it as uncharacterized. The transcript is spliced from 4 exons. NCBI's taxonomy places the organism in Eukaryota, Metazoa, Chordata, Mammalia, Chiroptera, Phyllostomidae. The record is from RefSeq and is a predicted model, not a curated record.